AAUAGAUACCCGGGUAGUCCACGCCGUAAACGAUGGAUACUAGCUGUCCGGCGCAAGCUGGGUGGCUAAGCGAAAGUGAUAAGUAUCCCACCUGGGGAGUACGUUCGCAAGAAUGAAACUCAAAGGAAUUGACGGGGGCCCGCACAAGCGGUGGAGCAUGUGGUUUAAUUCGAUGAUACGCGAGGAACCUUACCAGGGCUUAAAUGUAGUGGGACAGGUCCAGAGAUGGGCCCUUCUUCGGACUCAUUACAAGGUGCUGCAUGGUUGUCGUCAGCUCGUGCCGUGAGGUGUCAGGUUAAGUCCUAUAACGAGCGCAACCCCUGUCGUUAGUUGCCAGCGAGUGAAGUCGGGAACUCUAACGAGACUGCCGGUGCAAACCGUGAGGAAGGUGGGGAUGACGUCAAAUCAUCACGGCCCUUACGUCCUGGGCUACACACGUGCUACAAUGGCCGGUACAGAGAGCAGCCACGCCGCAAGGCGGAGCGAAUCUACAAAACCGGUACACAGUUCGGAGUCGGGGUCUGCAACUCGA
Molecule: ribosomal RNA, 532 nt
Filed under: uncultured bacterium
Lineage: Bacteria
Description: bacterial SSU rRNA
Rfam family: Bacterial small subunit ribosomal RNA
Source: RNAcentral